AUUGAACGCUGGCGGCAUGCUUUACACAUGCCAGUCGAACGGCAGCGCGGGCUUCGGCCUGGCGGCGAGUGGCGAACGGGUGAGUAAUGCAUCGGAACGUGCCCAGUAGUGGGGGAUAGCCCGGCGAAAGCCGGAUUAAUACCGCAUACGACCUGAGGGUGAAAGCGGGGGACCGAAAGGCCUCGCGCUAUUGGAGCGGCCGAUGUCGGAUUAGCUAAUUGGUGGGGUAAAGGCUUACCAAGGCGACGAUCCGUAGCUGGUCUGAGAGGACGACCAGCCACACUGGGACUGAGACACGGCCCAGACUCCUACGGGAGGCGGCAGUGGGGAAUUUUGGACAAUGGGGGCAACCCUGAUCCAGCCAUGCCGCGUGCGAGAAGAAGGCCUUCGGGUUGUAAACCGCUUUUGUUCGGGAAGAAAUCCUCUGGGCUAAUACCCCGGGGGAUGACGGUACCGGAAGAAUAAGCACCGGCUAACUACGUG
Molecule: ribosomal RNA, 483 nt
Filed under: uncultured bacterium
Lineage: Bacteria
Description: partial 16S ribosomal RNA
Rfam family: Bacterial small subunit ribosomal RNA
Source: RNAcentral